Molecule: ribosomal RNA, 467 nt
Filed under: uncultured bacterium
Lineage: Bacteria
Description: partial 16S ribosomal RNA
Rfam family: Bacterial small subunit ribosomal RNA
Source: RNAcentral
GACGAACGCUGGCGGCGUGCUUAACACAUGCAAGUCGAACGGAAAGGCCCUGCUUUUGUGGGGUGCUCGAGUGGCGAACGGGUGAGUAACACGUGAGUAACCUGCCCUUGACUUUGGGAUAACUUCAGGAAACUGGGGCUAAUACCGGAUAGGAGCUCCUGCUGCAUGGUGGGGGUUGGAAAGUUUCGGCGGUUGGGGAUGGACUCGCGGCUUAUCAGCUUGUUGGUGGGGUAGUGGCUUACCAAGGCUUUGACGGGUAGCCGGCCUGGGAGGGUGACCGGCCCCAUGGGGAAGGAGAUACGGCCCAGGCUCCUACGGGGGGCAGCAGGGGGGAAUAUUGCAAAAGGGGCGGAAGCCUGAUGCAGCAACGCCGCGUGGGGGAGGACGGCCUUGGGGUUGGAAACCGCUUUCGCCUGUGACGAAGCGGGAGGGACGGUAAUGGGUAAAGAAGCACCGGCUAACUACUU